CCUACGGGUGGUAGCAGUGGGGAAUAUUGCACAAUGGGGGGAACCCUGAUGCAGCAACGCCGCGUGGGUGAAGAAGUACUUCGGCACGUAAAGCCCUGUCAGCAGGGAAGAAAAUGACGGUACCUGACCAAGAAGCCCCGGCUAACUACGUGCCAGCAGCCGCGGUAAUACGUAGGGGGCACGCGUUAUCCGGAUUUACUGGGUGUAACGGGAGCGUAGACGGCAAGGCAAGGCUGGAGUGAAAGCCCGUGGCUCAACCCCGGGACUGCUUUGGAAACUGAGUGGCUGGAGUGCAGGAGGGGUAAGCGGAAUUCCUAGUGUAGCGGUGAAAUGCGUAGAUAUUAGGAGGAACACCGGUGGCGAAGGCGGCUUGCUGGACUGUAACUGACGUUGAGGCGCGAAGGCGUGGGGAGCAAACAGGAUUAGAUACCCUAGUAGUC
RNAcentral lists this ribosomal RNA (440 nucleotides) under uncultured bacterium. RNAcentral's name for it is "partial 16S ribosomal RNA". It matches the Rfam family "Bacterial small subunit ribosomal RNA", at positions 338 to 795 of the family's 1533-position model. The record is from RNAcentral.